RNAcentral lists this ribosomal RNA (301 nucleotides) under uncultured bacterium. RNAcentral describes it as "partial 16S ribosomal RNA". It matches the Rfam family "Bacterial small subunit ribosomal RNA", at positions 509 to 807 of the family's 1533-position model. The record is from RNAcentral.
CAGUAGCCGCGGGAAUACGAAGGGGGCUAGCGUUGCUCGGAAUUACUGGGCGUAAAGGGCGCGUAGGCGGACAGUUCAGUCGGGGGUGAAAGCCCGGGGCUCAACCUCGGAAUUGCCUUCGAUACUGGCUGUCUUGAGUAUGAGAGAGGUGUGUGGAACUCCGAGUGUAGAGGUGAAAUUCGUAGAUAUUCGGAAGAACACCAGUGGCGAAGGCGACACACUGGCUCAUUACUGACGCUGAGGCGCGAAAGCGUGGGGAGCAAACAGGAUUAGAUACCCCGGUAGUCCCUGUCUCUUAUAC